GGCCAAUUAGCUCAGUGGUUUGAGCGCAGUGCUGACAACAACGACCAGUACCGAGGUCGCGGGUUCGAUUCCCGCUUGGUCC
Non-coding RNA from Apaloderma vittatum (bar-tailed trogon), 82 nucleotides. NCBI's taxonomy places the organism in Eukaryota, Metazoa, Chordata, Aves, Trogoniformes, Trogonidae. The record is from Rfam.